GACGAACGCUGGCGGCGUGCUUAACACAUGCAAGUCGAACGGAAAGGCCCUGCUUUUGUGGGGUGCUCGAGUGGCGAACGGGUGAGUAACACGUGAGUAACCUGCCCUUGACUUUGGGGUAACUUCAGGAAACUGGGGCUAAUACCGGAUAGGAGCUCCUGCUGCAUGGUGGGGGUUGGAAAGUUUCGGCGGUUGGGGAUGGACUCGCGGCUUAUCAGCUUGUUGGUGGGGUAGUGGCUUACCAAGGCUUUGACGGGUAGCCGGCCUGAGAGGGUGACCGGCCACAUUGGGCCUGAGAUACGGACCAGACUCCUACGGGAGGCAGCAGUGGGGAAUAUUGCACAAUGGGCGGAAGCGUGAUGCAGCAACGCCGCGUGCGGGAUGACGGCCUUCGGGUUGUAAACCGCUUUCGCCUGUGACGAAGCGUGAGUGACGGUAAUGGGUAAAGAAGCACCGGCUAACUACGUG
This 468-nucleotide ribosomal RNA is filed under the name uncultured bacterium. RNAcentral's name for it is "partial 16S ribosomal RNA". It matches the Rfam family "Bacterial small subunit ribosomal RNA", at positions 28 to 507 of the family's 1533-position model. The record is from RNAcentral.